This 1102-nucleotide unclassified non-coding RNA is filed under the name Hevea brasiliensis (rubber tree). The record is from RNAcentral. Lineage: Eukaryota; Viridiplantae; Streptophyta; Magnoliopsida; Malpighiales; Euphorbiaceae.
GGACCUGUUUUGAGUGAGUUAUGGUCAUCCCAAGGACUACUGUUCAUAUGGUCAAAAAUCUGGGUUGCAAGGUUGCUAUUCCGGAUUUGGUCAUUUUUAAGGUCAGUUUCUAGGCAGAAUUUUGGCAACAUUUCUACAUGAAAGUUGGCCUAUUUGGUGUCUAGUUUCACCCCAUAUUGGCCUCAUACCAAUUGGGUUCACAGUUUGGCACUUAUGGCCUAAUUUAGGUGCUGCCUCCAAUACACAACCUGCACAAAGCACAUACACUCCCAAUUUGAUGUUCCUUCUCCUCCUCAUUACUACAAUAUUCAAUCAACAACACUUCCAUAUAUAUAUUGUACACAAUUCCAGCAAAAAUUCUGAGCAGAAUACUCAAGUGCACAAGGCACACAAUACACCAUUAAACUUCAAUAUUUACAUCCACCCAAAUUCAACAUACUUCAAUGUUAAUAUUACACAUAUACUUCAACAUAUUCAUACUUCAACAUCACUUACACUUGCUGCCCACAAAUUGACAUUCACAUAUAUCAUUAAUAACCAUAUAUUCACACACAAUUUCAUGCUAUUAGGGGUUGCCAAACAUGGCAGUUUGCUCAAGGCUUCAAGGUUCCAUUUCACACCUUUAAUCUAAACACUACAUGUACAUACUUGUGCACAAACUUACUACAACUUUCAUUUGGACAAUUCAAUCUUCAUUUUCAUUCAUUAGAAGUAAAAAUAACUCAAGCUCAACAAGGGUUCAUGGCUGCCAAAAAUGGACAAAUUCAUUUCUCACUAUUUCUUUCAUUUCUCUUCACCAAAACACUCACCUCAACCUAAACACAAGCUUUACCAAAGCAAGGGAGGGAUUUUGGACACUUACCACUUGAAAGCUUCCUUCAAACCUCACCAAAUCUUGUUUUUCUUGCUGCCAAUAUCUUCCCCAAGGUGAGUAUGCAAGCUUUAAUGAAGGAAAGAAGUGGAAAGGAUGGCUUGAUCAUGCACCCAUGGAGGUUGCAUGUGGGGUGGCCAUGGUGAUUUCCAUGGUGGAAUUCAUUACGGCAAAGUAAAAUGGGCUGAUGAAGAAGAUGAUGGUGAGUGCUAUCUGUUGUCCCAAGGCUGU